UACGAAGGGUGCAAACGUUGCUCGGAAUUAUUGGGCGUAAAGCGCACGUAGGCGGCUUUGCAAGUCCCAUGUGAAAGCCCACGGCUUAACCGUGGAAGUGCAUGGGAAACUGCAGAGCUUGAGUACUUAAGAGGAUCGCGGAAUUCCCGGUGUAGAGGUGAAAUUCGUAGAUAUCGGGAGGAACACCAGUGGCGAAGGCGGCGAUCUGGGAAGAUACUGACGCUGAGGUGCGAAAGCGUGGGGAGCGAACAGG
This 253-nucleotide ribosomal RNA is filed under the name uncultured bacterium. Its description in RNAcentral is "partial 16S ribosomal RNA". It matches the Rfam family "Bacterial small subunit ribosomal RNA", at positions 524 to 776 of the family's 1533-position model. The record is from RNAcentral.